AGCCGUAGAGAUACGGUGUCCUUCGGGGUCCAGCACAGGUGGUGCAUGGCUGUCGUCAGCUCGUGUCGUGAGAUGUUGGGUUAAGUCCCGCAACGAGCGCAACCCUUGUCCUAUGUUGCCAGCGGGUAAUGCCGGGGACUCGUAGGAGACUGCCGGGGUCAACUCGGAGGAAGGUGGGGACGACGUCAAGUCAUCAUGCCCCUUAUAUCCAGGGCUGCAAACAUGCUACAAUGGCCGGUACAAAGGGCUGCGAGACCGCGAGGUUGAGCGAAUCCCAGAAAGCCGGUCUCAGUUCGGAUUGGAGUCUGCAACUCGACUCCAUGAAGUCGGAGUCGCUAGUAAUCCCGGAUCAGCAACGCCGGGGUGAAUACGUUCCCGGGCCUUGUACACACCGCCCGUCACACCACGAAAGUUGGUAACACCCGAAGCCAGUGGCCCAACCCUUUGGGAGGGAGCUGUCGAAGGUGGGAUCAGCGAUUGGGGUGAAGUCGUAACAGGUAGC
This 502-nucleotide ribosomal RNA is filed under the name uncultured Actinomycetes bacterium. Its description in RNAcentral is "bacterial SSU rRNA". It matches the Rfam family "Bacterial small subunit ribosomal RNA", at positions 996 to 1500 of the family's 1533-position model. The record is from RNAcentral. Lineage: Bacteria; Bacillati; Actinomycetota; Actinomycetes.